GACGAACGCUGGCGGCGUGCUUAACACAUGCAAGUCGAACGCUGAAGACCUGGCUUUUGUUGGGUUGGAUGAGUGGCGAACGGGUGAGUAACACGUGAGUAACCUGCCCUCUUCUUUGGGAUAACGCCCGGAAACGGGUGCUAAUACUGGAUAUUCACUGAUCUUCGCAUGGGGGUUGGUGGAAAGGUUUGUUCUGGUGGGGGAUGGGCUCGCGGCCUAUCAGCUUGUUGGUGGGGUGAUGGCCUACCAAGGCUUUGACGGGUAGCCGGCCUGAGAGGGUGACCGGUCACAUUGGGACUGAGAUACGGCCCAGACUCCUACGGGAGGCAGCAGUGGGGAAUAUUGCACAAUGGGCGAAAGCCUGAUGCAGCGACGCCGCGUGAGGGAUGGGGGCCUUCGGGUUGUAAACCUCUUUCGCUCAUGGUCAAGCCGCAACUGUGGGUUGUGGUGAGGGUAGUGGGUAAAGAAGCGCCGGCUAACUACGUG
This 486-nucleotide ribosomal RNA is filed under the name uncultured bacterium. Its description in RNAcentral is "partial 16S ribosomal RNA". It matches the Rfam family "Bacterial small subunit ribosomal RNA", at positions 28 to 507 of the family's 1533-position model. The record is from RNAcentral.